UCACAUUCAUGAAGGGUUCUGUGAGUGU
This 28-nucleotide non-coding RNA is filed under the name Mus musculus (house mouse). The record is from RNAcentral. Lineage: Eukaryota; Metazoa; Chordata; Mammalia; Rodentia; Muridae.